CCUGUAGGUGGGGUCUAUCCUCAUUUUUGUGAGGGGCUGCAAACGGCCUGGUUUGCAGCCCGGCUGCAACAAAUUUUUUUCCGAUGUCCGUCUGUCUGUUUUUUCCAGCAGGCAGCAGGAGGAGAAUCGGGUCCGGUUCCGCAGGUCGGAUGGGAGCAGCAGCCACAGCCAAGCCUCUCGCUCUCGCGCCCGUCGUCGACCGCGACGACGUGGCCGUCAGUCCUUUAUCUGCAGCCAGCGGCCGAGCUGCGUCGGGUUCACGACGCCGGGGACGUGGGCCCCGCGCGCCACCAGCAGCCACGACACCUCCGCGUACCUCUUCCUGGGGUCCGGCUCGGCCCGCGCCGGUGCCGGAGCCGGGGCUCCGCGGCUCGGCUCGAUCCGCCGACCCAGGAGCGUGCCGUGGGCGAGGAACUCGUGGGCCAGGUGCCCGGCCAGGAGCUUGUUGUCGCCGGCGGCGGCGGCGGCGGCGGAGGGGGCCGCGCGAGCCGGAGCCGGAUUCCACGGCUCGGCUCUAGCCGCCACCGGGAGCGGCUGGGCCUGCAGCAGCUCGCGCUCGCGCUCCUUGCGCUUGCCGAGGACGACACGCGCGGCCUCCAGCUUCUCGCUCAGCGACAUAUCGACGGCUGCGCUUCGCCUCCAGACACGUCAGCGCGGAGCUGAGCCGUCCGAAAGGAAAUACGGAGAGGCACAGAGUUUUUUUUUUUUGCUCCCUCCUUUGGUCUCGCUGCGGAGCAGUUGAAGGAAAAAAAAGAAAAGAAAAAGAGAGACCGAACACAAAGUACGAACUGAGAUGGUGGGACCCACGCAGGGGCAGGAUCGUAAGUUCACAGGGCAGAAGGAGGAGAGGAAACGAAGGGAGUACGAGAGACGGGAGAGGAUGGAGGAAGCAGGGGAGAAAUCUGAUUCAAAAA
This 914-nucleotide unclassified non-coding RNA is filed under the name Zea mays. RNAcentral describes it as "misc RNA Zm00001eb426450". The record is from RNAcentral. Lineage: Eukaryota; Viridiplantae; Streptophyta; Magnoliopsida; Poales; Poaceae.